GAGUUUGAUCUUGGCUCAGAUUGAACGCUGGCGGCAUGCCUUACACAUGCAAGUCGAACGGCAGCAUGAUCUAGCUUGCUAGAUUGAUGGCGAGUGGCGAACGGGUGAGUAAUACAUCGGAACGUGCCCUGUAGUGGGGGAUAACUAAUCGAAGAUUAGCUAAUUACCGCAUACGACCUGAGGGUGAAAGUGGGGGACCGGCAAGGCCGUCAUGCUAUAGGAGCGGCCGAUGUCUGAUUAGCUAGUUGGUGGGUAAAGGCCCACCAAGGCGACGAUCAGUAGCUGGUCUGGAGAGGACGAUCAGCCACACUGGGGACUGAGACACGGGCCCAGACUCCUACGGGAGGCAGCAGUGGGGAAUUUGGACAAUGGGCGAAAGCCUGAUCCAGCAAAUGCCGCGUGUGUGAAGAGGCCUGGUGUAAG
This 423-nucleotide ribosomal RNA is filed under the name uncultured microorganism. RNAcentral's name for it is "bacterial SSU rRNA". It matches the Rfam family "Bacterial small subunit ribosomal RNA", at positions 9 to 429 of the family's 1533-position model. The record is from RNAcentral.